GAAAUAUAAGAAUCUGUCUCUUAACUUUAAACUAAAAGAGCUAAGAGCCGGCUCUUAAAUAGGAGAUUUAAGAGCCGGCUCUUAGCUUUUUUUAGUUAAAAGUUAAGAGACAGAUUCUUAUAUUCC
Brassica napus (rape) is the source of this 126-nucleotide non-coding RNA. Lineage: Eukaryota; Viridiplantae; Streptophyta; Magnoliopsida; Brassicales; Brassicaceae. The record is from Rfam.